UCGUCAGCUCGUGUCGUGAGAUGUUGGGUUAAGUCCCGCAACGAGCGCAACCCUUGUCAUUAGUUGCCAUCAUUAAGUUGGGCACUCUAAUGAGACUGCCGGUGACAAACCGGAGGAAGGUGGGGAUGACGUCAAGUCAUCAUGCCCCUUAUGACCUGGGCUACACACGUGUUACAAUGGGCAGUACAACGAGAAGCAAGCCUGCGAAGGCAAGCGAAUCUCUGAAAGCUGUUCUCAGUUCGGACUGCAGUCUGCAACUCGACUGCACGAAGCUGGAAUCGCUAGUAAUCGCGGAUCAGCACGCCGCGGUGAAUACGUUCCCGGGCCUUGUACACACCGCCCGUCACACCAUGGGAGUCUGCAAUGCCCAAAGCCGGUGGCCUAACCUUCGGGAAGGAGCCGUCUAAGGCAGGGUAGAUGACUGGGGUGAAGUCGUAACAAGGUAACCGUA
This 451-nucleotide ribosomal RNA is filed under the name uncultured bacterium. RNAcentral describes it as "bacterial SSU rRNA". It matches the Rfam family "Bacterial small subunit ribosomal RNA", at positions 1052 to 1504 of the family's 1533-position model. The record is from RNAcentral.